GAAUUUUUCCAAACUCUAAUCUCAAAAUCAAAAUGCAUUUUUUGUCUAAUAUACAUGGCGCUAAUAAUAGUCUACCUACUGAUAAACUUGUCUAUAUGUAAAAAAAAAAACAAUUAGUAUUUUAUGAUUUGCAUAAGCGAACUAAAUCUAUAAUACAUGUUAAAAAGGUUAAUUUCAUAUAAUGCUUAUAUUUUAAUACAUCAGAUAUAACAUGAGAUUGUUGUAUUUUUCUUUAAAUAGGGUUAACAAAGUGAUUGUAUUUGUUGAUAGUAAAAAAAAACAGAAAUAGGAUAAUAUUGACAGAAAAAAGAAUGAAAAAGAAGAUAAUUGGAUUAGUGGUUAGGAGUAGGUGAAGAUGUUGUUAGUGGAGGUUGGGGAUGGUCCAUCACGGUCAGUUUCUAAUUGAAGAUAAUGAAAGUCCUAUCGUUUGCUUUAAUCAAUUGACAUCUCGAAUGGAAAUGCAGCAUGUAUCUCUAGUUACCUUUUUGUGAAAGCACAAAAUCAAGCAAUGUUUUAU
Molecule: long non-coding RNA, 517 nt
Filed under: Brassica rapa (field mustard)
Lineage: Eukaryota; Viridiplantae; Streptophyta; Magnoliopsida; Brassicales; Brassicaceae
Description: long non-coding RNA (BRAP_LNC005072)
Source: RNAcentral